AUCCAACUGACGAGUCUCAAAUAUGACGAAGUUUUGCACCUCCUGGAU
Schistosoma curassoni is the source of this 48-nucleotide non-coding RNA. The record is from Rfam. Lineage: Eukaryota; Metazoa; Platyhelminthes; Trematoda; Strigeidida; Schistosomatidae.